This is a long non-coding RNA of Callithrix jacchus (white-tufted-ear marmoset), 2089 nucleotides long. Lineage: Eukaryota; Metazoa; Chordata; Mammalia; Primates; Cebidae. The record is from Ensembl.
CUUCUGCCAUGAAGUGCCUUUUUGCCUUUUUGUGAUGUACAAUGAGGAGCAUGGGGAAGAGAGAAAGUCAACUUGAGUGGACAGAGCCAGAGGUGUGCUUCUGCUGAAGGUGACUGGAAUGGCUUUAACCCCAAGGUCAUAUUUGGAAGCCACUUGUGGAAGAUUAAGGAGCCGCAGCUAGAGAGAACUCAUUUAUCUGAUUCACCACCUGGGGGAGCACUAUCUAAGUAUCAGAAAUUUUUAUCAGCAGGAAAUAAACUUCUGUUGUGUUAAGCCUUUAAGAUUCCAGGGUUUAUCCAUUAAAAAACAAUCAAAAUACUAACAAAUAGAUUAUUUAUCCAUGAUAGUAACAUUUGCCAUACAUUGACUUAAUACCAAGCAGUGUAUAAGUAGAAUAUCAUUUAAUUGUCUUAUCAGCUGCAUGAAGUAGAUAUCAUUCUCCUUCCUUAUUUUGUAGAUAAGGAAGGCAUCUAUGUUUCACAGUGAUAAACAAACUGGUCCUAACAACCCCUAGUAACUUCUUAAAGGCUAUUUAGAGUCUCAGAGUUUUUAACCUAAAAGAUUAUUAUAGAACAAAGCCCAGGGAAGUUUGCUUCUGCCUCAUAGAGAAAGUAAGUUCCUCAUUCAUUUUAAAUCUGUAUAUGUAAAAGAGUUAGAGACAGUGUAAUCAAUGUAUAAUUAUGUAUAGUAUUACAAUUCAUAAUAGCCUUUUAAUUAUCUGAAAAAUUAUAUGUUCUAACAUGUAUAUGCAAGGUCAAAUUCUAUAAGUCCAAGACAUAGGAAUAUAUCAUCUAAUAAAGACUUUCCAGAUACAGCUUUUACCUGACAUAACCUAUUUAAAAUGGACAGCUCAAAAUCAGCCUGGUUCGACCUAAGUGUAUAUGCUCAAGUAUUGCACUCACGAUCUUGAAUAUUCACAUUACGGUUCAUUGAAAAGGCGAUGGGCUUUGCAAUAAGAUUGACAACAAAAGGAAAAAUGAUGAGGAAAAUUGCCUUACUUAUCUGCUACAGUACUCUUGAUUGCCAAGUGUAAUUUUACGGUUCAUUAUAAGCAAGGGAAAAGUUUGACCAUUAACAUGAGCACUUGUAUAUCUUAUUGAUACAAAGAAUAAGUUGCUUGAAACACACUUGGUUUUUAAUGAAGCCACUGCAAUUUUGUGUUUUUAAAACAUCAUCAAUUUUCAUCAGUUUUACCCCUGCUGGAAUUUUAUGGGGGUAAAAUAGUUAAAGGUCAUCAGACGCUGUGGGACAUAAAACUGUAGAAAAAUGAAGAUGUUAAAUGACACAGGAGUGACAUCAUCUAUUUUCUGAGUUACCGCUUGACAUAGUACGAGAUUUGACUGGGUAAUUGAGGUAAAUAGUAUUGCUGUUACAGAUGUCAUGAUGGAUCAGAUAAGGAUCAGAUAACAUAACAACUUUAAUCAUCCUUUAACACAGGGGAUCAUUGCUCUAAAGUACUAUGGGGAAUGCCCCAUUUAAAAUUGUAUUUCUGCAUUCUACUAAAUAUUCCUAAACUUUAGUUCCCUAAAGGACACUCCACUGCUAAAAACAAUUUAAUACCUUCUCAUCAUCUAGGACUGUGUGGUUCAAAACUAUACCCACUAGCCACAUGGGGAUGAUUUAAAUUACAUUAAAUUAAAAUUAUAAUUCAGUUUCUCAGUCAUAAUCAGCACAUUUCAAGUGUUCAAUGCCUUCAAGGGGCUAGUGGCUACUCUUUAAGACAAUGCAACUCUACACAGUUUCCAUCAACUCAGAAAGUUCUAUUUGAUAGCUUAUAUCUAGAUCUGGACUAUCCAACAUGGUAGCCUCUGGCCACAUAUGGAGAUUGAGUGCUUGAAAUAUGGCCAAACGUGAGAUGUGCCAUCCAUGCAAAUUACAUACCAGAUUUGGAAAACAGUUCAAAAAGAAUACUAUAAAAUAGCUUAUUAAUAAUUUUGUAAGCUCAUUACAUUUGAACAAUGCUUUAUUUAUACUUUUAAAUAAAACAUAGUACUAAAGUCAAUGUCAUCUGUUACUUUUUAACUUUUUAAAACAUGACAACUAGAAAGUUUAAAUUUAUUUAUUUAUUUUGAGAUAGAAUCUAGCUCUG